UGCAAGUCGAACGAGAGAGAGGGAGCUUGCUUCCUCGAUCGAGUGGCGAACGGGUGAGUAACGCGUGAGGAACCUGCCUCAAAGAGGGGGACAACAGUUGGAAACGACUGCUAAUACCGCAUAAGCCCACGGCUCGGCAUCGAGCAGAGGGAAAAGGAGCAAUCCGCUUUGAGAUGGCCUCGCGUCCGAUUAGCUAGUUGGUGAGGUAAUGGCCCACCAAGGCGACGAUCGGUAGCCGGACUGAGAGGUUGAACGGCCACAUUGGGACUGAGACACGGCCCAGACUCCUACGGGAGGCAGCAGUGGGGAAUAUUGCACAAUGGGGGAAACCCUGAUGCAGCGACGCCGCGUGGAGGAAGAAGGUCUUCGGAUUGUAAACUCCUGUUGUUGAGGAAGAUAAUGACGGUACUCAACAAGGAAGUGACGGCUAACUACGUGCCAGCAGCCGCGGUAAAACGUAGGUCACAAGCGUUGUCCGGAAUUACUGGGUGUAAAGGGAGCGCAGGCGGGCGAUCAAGUUGGAAGUGAAAUCCAUGGGCUCAACCCAUGAACUGCUUUCAAA
This 562-nucleotide ribosomal RNA is filed under the name uncultured bacterium. Its description in RNAcentral is "bacterial SSU rRNA". It matches the Rfam family "Bacterial small subunit ribosomal RNA", at positions 56 to 631 of the family's 1533-position model. The record is from RNAcentral.